UGGCUUUCUGACACCAGAGGUAAUGAUUAAUAGGGACAACUGGGGGCAUUCGUAUUGCGACGUUAGAGGUGAAAUUCUUGGAUCGUCGCAAGACGGACUAAAGCGAAAGCAUUUGCCAAAGGUGUUUUCAUUAAUCAAGAACGAAAGUUAGAGGUUCGAAGGCGAUUAGAUACCGCUGUAGUUCUAACCAUAAAUGAUGCCAGCCAGCGAUCCGCCGAAGUUUCUUUGUUUGAUUCGGUGGGCAGCUCUCGGGAAACCAAAGCUUUC
This 267-nucleotide ribosomal RNA is filed under the name Cyrnellus fraternus. RNAcentral's name for it is "partial 18S small subunit ribosomal RNA". It matches the Rfam family "Eukaryotic small subunit ribosomal RNA", at positions 843 to 1108 of the family's 1831-position model. The record is from RNAcentral. Lineage: Eukaryota; Metazoa; Arthropoda; Insecta; Trichoptera; Polycentropodidae.